GAUGAACGCUGGCGGCGUGCCUAAUACAUGCAAGUCGAGCGAACGGACGAGACGCUUGCUUUUCGGAUGUUAGCGGCGGACGGGUGAGUAACACGUGGAUAACCCACCUAUAAGACUGGGAUAACCUCGGGACACCGGCGCUAAUACCGGAUAAUAUUUUGAACGGCAUGGUUCAAAAGUGAAAGACGGUCUUGCUGUCACUUAUAGAUGGAUCCGCGCUGCAUUAGCAAGUUGGUAAGGUAACGGCUUACCAAGGCAACGAUGCAUAGCCGACCUGAGAGGGUGAUCGGCCACACGGGAACUGAGACACGGUCCAGACGCCUACGGGAGGCAGCAGUAGGGAAUCGGCCGCAAUGGGCGAAAGCCUGACGGAGCAACGCCGCGUGAGUGAUGAAGGUCUUCGGAUCGUAAAACUCUGUUAUUAGGGAAGAACAUAUGUGUAAGUAACUGUGCACAUCUUGACAGUACCUAAUCAGAAAGCCACGGCUAACUACGUG
RNAcentral lists this ribosomal RNA (497 nucleotides) under uncultured bacterium. RNAcentral describes it as "partial 16S ribosomal RNA". It matches the Rfam family "Bacterial small subunit ribosomal RNA", at positions 28 to 507 of the family's 1533-position model. The record is from RNAcentral.